RNAcentral lists this ribosomal RNA (495 nucleotides) under uncultured bacterium. RNAcentral's name for it is "partial 16S ribosomal RNA". It matches the Rfam family "Bacterial small subunit ribosomal RNA", at positions 28 to 507 of the family's 1533-position model. The record is from RNAcentral.
GACGAACGCUGGCGGCGUGCCUAAUACAUGCAAGUAGAACGCUGAAGGAGGAGCUUGCUUCUCUGGAUGAGUUGCGAACGGGUGAGUAACGCGUAGGUAACCUGCCUGGUAGCGGGGGAUAACUAUUGGAAACGAUAGCUAAUACCGCAUAAGAGUAGAUGUUGCAUGACAUUUGCUUAAAAGGUGCAAUUGCAUCACUACCAGAUGGACCUGCGUUGUAUUAGCUAGUUGGUGAGGUAACGGCUCACCAAGGCAACGAUACAUAGCCGACCUGAGAGGGUGAUCGGCCAAACUGGGACUGAGACACGGCCCAGACUCCUACGGGGGGCAGCAGUAGGGAAUCUUCGGCAAUGGACGGAAGUCUGACCGAGCAACGCCGCGUGAGUGAAGAAGGUUUUCGGAUCGUAAAGCUCUGUUGUAAGAGAAGAACGAGUGUGAGAGUGGAAAGUUCACACUGUGACGGUAUCUGACCAGAAAGGGACGGCUAACUACGUG